AUGCUCAUCCAGUUCCAACCCCCUGCUGUGUGCAGGUCACCAACCAGCAGCCCAGGCUGCCCAGAGCCACAUCCAGCCUGGCCUUGAAUGCUUGCAGGGAUGGGGCAUCCACAGCCUCCUUGGACAACCUGUGCCAGUGCCUCACCACCCUCUGGGGGAAAAACUUCCUCCUAAGAUCUAAGCUGAACGUCCCCCCUGUCUCAGUUUAUAACCAUUCCCCUUGUCCUAUCACCAUCCACCCUCAUAAACAGCCGUUCCCCCUCCUGUUUAUACGCUUCCUUCAAGUACUGGAAGGCCACAAUGAGGUCUCCAUGGAGCCUUCUCCUCUCCAAGCUGAACAAGCCCAGUUAAUAUCCAUACAUGUCCCUGCCCUAGUCUGUAGGAUCUGUUGGCCACCUCAUUCCUUUCAUAUGGAGUCACAGAAUCAUGAUGGUCAGAAAAACCCUCCAAAAUCACCAAGUCCAAACACGGGCCCAUCACCACGUCCCGUGCCAUUGAUAUCCACUACCUGAAACCCAUAGGUUCUGAAGGUUCAGCCACCCCAUUCCUUUCCUAUAAAAUCCCAGAAUCAUGAAGUUAGGAGAACACCUCAAAAAUCACCAAGUCCAACUCCAUCUCCACCAUGUCCACAAGUGCCACAUCUCCACAUUUCUUGACUACCUCCAGGGAUAGUGACUCCAUCACCUCUCUAUUCCAAUGCCUUACCAUGGAAGAAAGGGAGGAAUCCACCAAAUGCACAGGGCCACCAACCUCAUCCUGUCCAAUGAGGGAGGCAGUGCUGGGAAUCCAGCCUGCACAGUCACCAACGGACAGGGCAUGGGAGAGGGAGAGGAGCAGGAAGGGAUUGGCUGUGUGUGAAAUGGGACCAGAAGCCGCUACUUGUUCUGUCUUGUAUGUUUUUUUAAUCUGGGCCAGUCGCUGUAGUCUGCCCUAUCUUGUAUUUUCUUAUUAAAAUCUUUUCUAAAUCA
Lagopus muta (rock ptarmigan) is the source of this 968-nucleotide long non-coding RNA. RefSeq lists it as uncharacterized. Lineage: Eukaryota; Metazoa; Chordata; Aves; Galliformes; Phasianidae. The transcript is spliced from 2 exons. The record is from RefSeq and is a predicted model, not a curated record.